AUAAUUUACAGAGAUUCUACUAAAUAAAAAUAGGGAAUUUGCAUAUUUUGUCCCACUUAAAAUGCACUAACAUGGCGAGGUCAACAAUCUUGAUUUUUGCCAUAAUUAGUCUGUGGGGGAGUUAAAUUUCAAUCAUCUUGUAACAUGUUAGCGACAUUUUAAAUGAGAGUAACUCGUUAAAGAUUUUUCCAUUUAAGCCUAAUUUUUACUAUUUUGGUUAAUGUGCAACUUUAUGUAAUUAUACUCUUCCAGGAUGUGACUCAAUGAGAAGGGAACAUCUGCUGGAUAACUUUGCUUUAUGUCGCUUUACAAGGAGAAGAUGAACUGCAGAAAGACUGAUUGGAUCGGGAUUUUAGAGAAAAUAUCAGGAAGAAAAAAGAGUAGGAGAAGGCCAUGAAGAUACAGAGAGGUGCUGAGAGGUGAUAAAAAGGUAAAUGAAAGAACUAGGAUUUCUGAAUUCUUCUUACUGACAUAGAUGGUCUGUAAUCAAUACAGAUUGUCUACUAACAACUAAAAGUUCUGGUAGCACUAUUGGUUUGAAUUUGAUUGCCUAGGUUAUCUUAUUUUCAAUAUUUUUAAUCUGUUUAGUUAAUAAGGAGUAUUAUAUUAAGAAUCUAUUAUCUUUACACCAGAAUUCCAGAAAUGUGCUAUGUAUCCAAUGCUAUCCAGGCGAUUGUGA
Molecule: long non-coding RNA, 679 nt
Filed under: Anas platyrhynchos platyrhynchos (common mallard)
Lineage: Eukaryota; Metazoa; Chordata; Aves; Anseriformes; Anatidae
Description: lncRNA (ENSAPLG00000028370.1)
Source: RNAcentral